RNAcentral lists this ribosomal RNA (2925 nucleotides) under Escherichia coli. RNAcentral's name for it is "23S ribosomal RNA". It matches the Rfam family "Bacterial large subunit ribosomal RNA". The record is from RNAcentral. Lineage: Bacteria; Pseudomonadati; Pseudomonadota; Gammaproteobacteria; Enterobacterales; Enterobacteriaceae.
GGGUUGUGAGGUUAAGCGACUAAGCGUACACGGUGGAUGCCCUGGCAGUCAGAGGCGAUGAAGGACGUGCUAAUCUGCGAUAAGCGUCGGUAAGGUGAUAUGAACCGUUAUAACCGGCGAUUUCCGAAUGGGGAAACCCAGUGUGUUUCGACACACUAUCAUUAACUGAAUCCAUAGGUUAAUGAGGCGAACCGGGGGAACUGAAACAUCUAAGUACCCCGAGGAAAAGAAAUCAACCGAGAUUCCCCCAGUAGCGGCGAGCGAACGGGGAGCAGCCCAGAGCCUGAAUCAGUGUGUGUGUUAGUGGAAGCGUCUGGAAAGGCGCGCGAUACAGGGUGACAGCCCCGUACACAAAAAUGCACAUACUGUGAGCUCGAUGAGUAGGGCGGGACACGUGGUAUCCUGUCUGAAUAUGGGGGGACCAUCCUCCAAGGCUAAAUACUCCUGACUGACCGAUAGUGAACCAGUACCGUGAGGGAAAGGCGAAAAGAACCCCGGCGAGGGGAGUGAAAAAGAACCUGAAACCGUGUACGUACAAGCAGUGGGAGCACGCUUAGGCGUGUGACUGCGUACCUUUUGUAUAAUGGGUCAGCGACUUAUAUUCUGUAGCAAGGUUAACCGAAUAGGGGAGCCGAAGGGAAACCGAGUCUUAACUGGGCGUUAAGUUGCAGGGUAUAGACCCGAAACCCGGUGAUCUAGCCAUGGGCAGGUUGAAGGUUGGGUAACACUAACUGGAGGACCGAACCGACUAAUGUUGAAAAAUUAGCGGAUGACUUGUGGCUGGGGGUGAAAGGCCAAUCAAACCGGGAGAUAGCUGGUUCUCCCCGAAAGCUAUUUAGGUAGCGCCUCGUGAAUUCAUCUCCGGGGGUAGAGCACUGUUUCGGCAAGGGGGUCAUCCCGACUUACCAACCCGAUGCAAACUGCGAAUACCGGAGAAUGUUAUCACGGGAGACACACGGCGGGUGCUAACGUCCGUCGUGAAGAGGGAAACAACCCAGACCGCCAGCUAAGGUCCCAAAGUCAUGGUUAAGUGGGAAACGAUGUGGGAAGGCCCAGACAGCCAGGAUGUUGGCUUAGAAGCAGCCAUCAUUUAAAGAAAGCGUAAUAGCUCACUGGUCGAGUCGGCCUGCGCGGAAGAUGUAACGGGGCUAAACCAUGCACCGAAGCUGCGGCAGCGACGCUUAUGCGUUGUUGGGUAGGGGAGCGUUCUGUAAGCCUGUGAAGGUGUACUGUGAGGUAUGCUGGAGGUAUCAGAAGUGCGAAUGCUGACAUAAGUAACGAUAAAGCGGGUGAAAAGCCCGCUCGCCGGAAGACCAAGGGUUCCUGUCCAACGUUAAUCGGGGCAGGGUGAGUCGACCCCUAAGGCGAGGCCGAAAGGCGUAGUCGAUGGGAAACAGGUUAAUAUUCCUGUACUUGGUGUUACUGCGAAGGGGGGACGGAGAAGGCUAUGUUGGCCGGGCGACGGUUGUCCCGGUUUAAGCGUGUAGGCUGGUUUUCCAGGCAAAUCCGGAAAAUCAAGGCUGAGGCGUGAUGACGAGGCACUACGGUGCUGAAGCAACAAAUGCCCUGCUUCCAGGAAAAGCCUCUAAGCAUCAGGUAACAUCAAAUCGUACCCCAAACCGACACAGGUGGUCAGGUAGAGAAUACCAAGGCGCUUGAGAGAACUCGGGUGAAGGAACUAGGCAAAAUGGUGCCGUAACUUCGGGAGAAGGCACGCUGAUAUGUAGGUGAAGUCCCUCGCGGAUGGAGCUGAAAUCAGUCGAAGAUACCAGCUGGCUGCAACUGUUUAUUAAAAACACAGCACUGUGCAAACACGAAAGUGGACGUAUACGGUGUGACGCCUGCCCGGUGCCGGAAGGUUAAUUGAUGGGGUCAGCGCAAGCGAAGCUCUUGAUCGAAGCCCCGGUAAACGGCGGCCGUAACUAUAACGGUCCUAAGGUAGCGAAAUUCCUUGUCGGGUAAGUUCCGACCUGCACGAAUGGCGUAAUGAUGGCCAGGCUGUCUCCACCCGAGACUCAGUGAAAUUGAACUCGCUGUGAAGAUGCAGUGUACCCGCGGCAAGACGGAAAGACCCCGUGAACCUUUACUAUAGCUUGACACUGAACAUUGAGCCUUGAUGUGUAGGAUAGGUGGGAGGCUUUGAAGUGUGGACGCCAGUCUGCAUGGAGCCGACCUUGAAAUACCACCCUUUAAUGUUUGAUGUUCUAACGUGGACCCGUGAUCCGGGUUGCGGACAGUGUCUGGUGGGUAGUUUGACUGGGGCGGUCUCCUCCUAAAGAGUAACGGAGGAGCACGAAGGUUGGCUAAUCCUGGUCGGACAUCAGGAGGUUAGUGCAAUGGCAUAAGCCAGCUUGACUGCGAGCGUGACGGCGCGAGCAGGUGCGAAAGCAGGUCAUAGUGAUCCGGUGGUUCUGAAUGGAAGGGCCAUCGCUCAACGGAUAAAAGGUACUCCGGGGAUAACAGGCUGAUACCGCCCAAGAGUUCAUAUCGACGGCGGUGUUUGGCACCUCGAUGUCGGCUCAUCACAUCCUGGGGCUGAAGUAGGUCCCAAGGGUAUGGCUGUUCGCCAUUUAAAGUGGUACGCGAGCUGGGUUUAGAACGUCGUGAGACAGUUCGGUCCCUAUCUGCCGUGGGCGCUGGAGAACUGAGGGGGGCUGCUCCUAGUACGAGAGGACCGGAGUGGACGCAUCACUGGUGUUCGGGUUGUCAUGCCAAUGGCACUGCCCGGUAGCUAAAUGCGGAAGAGAUAAGUGCUGAAAGCAUCUAAGCACGAAACUUGCCCCGAGAUGAGUUCUCCCUGACUCCUUGAGAGUCCUGAAGGAACGUUGAAGACGACGACGUUGAUAGGCCGGGUGUGUAAGCGCAGCGAUGCGUUGAGCUAACCGGUACUAAUGAACCGUGAGGCUUAACCUUACAACGCCGAAG